This 468-nucleotide ribosomal RNA is filed under the name uncultured bacterium. RNAcentral describes it as "partial 16S ribosomal RNA". It matches the Rfam family "Bacterial small subunit ribosomal RNA", at positions 28 to 507 of the family's 1533-position model. The record is from RNAcentral.
GACGAACGCUGGCGGCGUGCUUAACACAUGCAAGUCGAACGGAAAGGCCCUGCUUUUGUGGGGUGCUCGAGUGGCGAACGGGUGAGUAACACGUGAGUAACCUGCCCUUGACUUUGGGAUAACUUCAGGAAACUGGGGCUAAUACCGGAUAGGAGCUCCUGCUGCAUGGUGGGGGUUGGAAAGUUUCGGCGGUUGGGGGUGGACUCGCGGCUUAUCAGCUUGUUGGUGGGGUAGUGGCUUACCAAGGCUUUGACGGGUAGCCGGCCUGAGAGGGUGACCGGCCACAUUGGGACUGCGAUACGGACCAGACUCCUACGGGAGGCAGCAGUGGGGAAUAUUGCACAAUGGGCGGAAGCCUGAUGCAGCAACGCCGCGUGCGGGAUGACGGCCUUCGGGUUGUAAACCGCUUUCGCCUGUGACGAAGCGUGAGUGACGGUAAUGGGUAAAGAAGCACCGGCUAACUACGUG